GCCCCUGUACCGGCGGAGGAUUUCUACCCUUCUGGCCGUAACUGGAUCAUGCGCGUUCGAAUCGCGUCAGGGGCUCCA
This 78-nucleotide transfer RNA is filed under the name Hoeflea algicola. RNAcentral's name for it is "tRNA-Gln". Lineage: Bacteria; Pseudomonadati; Pseudomonadota; Alphaproteobacteria; Hyphomicrobiales; Rhizobiaceae. The record is from RNAcentral.